GACGAACGCUGGCGGCGUGCUUAACACAUGCAAGUCGAACGGUAAGGCCCCAGCUUUCUGGGUUACACGAUUGGCGAACGGGUGAGUAACACGUGGGUGUCCUGCCCCUCACUUCGUGAUAAGACUGGGGAACUCGGUCUAAUACCGGAUACGAUCGCUCCGUGCGGGUGUGUUGGAAAGUUUGUCGGGGUGGGAUGGGCCCGCGGCCUAUCAGCUUGUUGGUGUGGUAAGUGCCUACCAAGGCGGCGACGGGUAGCCGGCCUGAGAGGGGGGACGGCGACAUUGGGACUGCGGCACGGACCAGACGCCUACGGGAGGCAGCAGUGGGGAAUAUUGCACAAUGGGCGGAAGCCUGAUGCAGCGACGCCGGGUGCGGGAUGACGGCCUUCGGGUUGUAAACACCUGUCACCAUAGACGAAGGUUUUUUGACGGUAGCUGGAGAAGAAGCACCGGCUAACUACGUG
RNAcentral lists this ribosomal RNA (464 nucleotides) under uncultured bacterium. RNAcentral's name for it is "partial 16S ribosomal RNA". It matches the Rfam family "Bacterial small subunit ribosomal RNA", at positions 28 to 507 of the family's 1533-position model. The record is from RNAcentral.